CAAGAAACAUUCAUUAUGCAGCUGUUAAGUGUUAGAUGACAGCAAGUUAUUGAUACCCAACGGCAAACAGCGGAAAUAAUUGGUGAUUUGACCAAUAUUAACUCCUGUCAAUCAACAAAUGAUCCGCUUUUGACUUGUACUUCCCCGUCGUUGCGGAUGUUUAAGGGAGAUCAUAAGAUCAAGAUUUUCGGCGAGAGUUUUUAAGUGCGAUCUUAACAUUUAACGACUCAGAGAGAGGAGAUAGGUUUCCACUUUUGAUAUAAGUUAAUCUUUUUCCUCGAAAGAUUUGAUAAUCAAUACGUUAAUAACUCUGAGCUGACAUAAGUUGGGAACCACCGAAAAAACUAUCUAUGGCGAACAUCACUGCCGAAGAUGAAGCUAACACAGUCAAGACAGAAAUCUUGCAUUAUAUAAGCAGUGCUCCAGGUGGCGUAUCUAUUUUUCUUGCAGCUUUAAACAUAGUUCUCGCCAUCGUCGCAACUCUGGGAAAUUUUCUUCUCCUGAUUGCAUUGCGUAAAGUCAUAUCAAUUUAUCCUCCAACAAAACUUUUUUUCCGAAGUUUGGCAGUGACUGAUCUCUUCGCUGGUCUCAUCGUGCAACCAAUGUACUCAAUUACUCUUAUACCAGGGAUAAGCCACAAGAAUCUUAUGUACUACAGCAUCCAAGUAACUGGCAUCUCUGGCUCAAUUCUUUGCACCGUUUCGAUUUUGACUUCAACCGCAAUCAGUGUGGACAGGCUUCUGGCGCUGCUUUUGGGGCUGAGAUACAAACAGGUUGUAACACUGAAGCGCACACGAGCGGUGGUGGGCUGUAUUUGGUUACUGAGCUGUUCAAUGGGUGGAUGGAGGUACAGUAAUUGGGGCGCUGAAGUUUCCAAAUUCACCUUGUUUGUUUUGAUGCUUCUGUCCCUAAUAAUUUCCAUCUGCUCUUACACGAAGAUCUAUCUCUACCUACAAAAUCAACAAGCUCAGUUACACGCAAAAAAACACCGUGAGAUCCAUCAAGAGCCAACAUCAAACGGAGGAGAAGGUCGACUGAAUAUAGAAAGAUAUAAGAAGUUGGUUUCUAGUAUAGCAUGGGUACAGUUGGCUUUACUUCUGUGUUUUAUUCCCUUUACUGUUGGGAGUAUGCUAUUCACACACAGAAAACUAACUGGUGUGGCCACUGGAAUAGCGCAUUUUUGUGUAUCAAUCCCAUAUGUGCUGUUUAACCCAGCUCUGAACCCGAUUCUUUACUGCUGGAAGAUCAGAGAAGUCAAACAAGCCAUGAAGGAGACUGUCAGAAAAUUAAACUGCUAUUUCAAGUCAAGCUGGUCCUUUUUUCCGUCGAGCAUCACUAAUACCACCCGAGCUUAACUUAAAUUCUGACUGUGCAUGGCGUCUUUGAAACAUAUCUAGCACCAUAAGGUGACACUGUGGAUCCAGUUUUGACAUUGAAAAUCGAAUUUCGAAUUUAAUAUUCUAAAGCCAUCCGGAAACAAAGUAGAUUAGAGGAAAUUCAAAACCAUUCCGGUAUAAUGCUGUACAAAAUUGACAAGGGACAAAACUUUAAAGAAUAAACCGUAAUUCAAAAUUUGUAGAUACAAAUAAGUUUAAAUUUUUAGAAAUUAUAUACGUAAAUAUUAAAAUACGUAAACCGUGAGAUUGAUAUUGAUGUUUAAUAUUAUGUUUAAUUUCGUGUAAAAAUUUGAUGUGGAAACAGAAUGUUUGAACGAUGACAUGAAUUUUUCAGGCCAAAAGUUAUAAGCUGAAUAUUUCCGCGACAACAUAAAGUGCGCGGUAAUAACAUGUUACAGAGCAGAUGCAGCUGUCUACCUGUAUAUUUAUUUUCAAGUCUUUUUCAGUUAUUCAGAAUAAGCUCAAACGCAUGGGCGUAUCGUUGACCGGCAAUGUUUUCUGGUUUAAAAAAUCUUGAGGAUACUUGUCAAGGAUACGCAACAUUCUCGGGAAGAAUUCUCGUGCGCUGCACCAUUAUUUAGUGUUGCAUGCUUAUUUUACCAUAAAAAAAGCCGACAUUUAAAAAUUUUAAUAUUUGUCCAUUUUCUGCACACAUGCGCAAUUGGUAUUUUUGUCACCAGCGUGACUGAGAGUGAACUAAAAUUUAUCAUUUGGCGGAAUCGAACGUCAGAUCUUCCAGACAGACCACAGAGAACUCGAGGGCGAGUCAGGUCAUAUCAUGAUAUUCAAAUCUUGUUGAGAAGUAAAUAGAUGUAGACAAGCACUGAAAAUAAAGCAAUAAGGAUUGAUAUUUUACCACAUUGCGUAGUCAGGAUUUGUUGACGGUAAUUCGUACCUGAUUUCACGCGUCGUUUAUUUUCAGCUUAAUUAAGGGCCUCAUAUGAUACCCACAGAAUUUUCAAGCGUUGCAUCAUACUGACCACAAACUACUUAUACAAGUAUUUGAUAAUUUUUUCAUUCUAUAAAAGUUACGAUUAGCUAAAAAAUGAUGUAGAUAAAUUUGGUUGAAGACGUGCAUAGGCAAUAGAAAGAAUCCGCUAAGUGAUCGAGGGUCAAAUUAAAUCGUCUGUUUUUAAGUCCACCACCAUCGACUCGUGAUAUUGAUAUGAGAGGAUCGUUGCAAAAUGACGGUAAAGGUAGAUCUUCGUGUACGAGCAGAUGGAAAUUAUUAGGGACAGAAGCAUCAAAACAAAC
RNAcentral lists this unclassified non-coding RNA (2651 nucleotides) under Pocillopora damicornis (cauliflower coral). RNAcentral's name for it is "beta-3 adrenergic receptor-like, transcript variant X2". Lineage: Eukaryota; Metazoa; Cnidaria; Anthozoa; Scleractinia; Pocilloporidae. The record is from RNAcentral.